UUGAUACUUUUGGGUUAGUUUUGUUGCUUGAUUUGUUUUUAUAAACUUUUUGAUGGUUAAUGUAUCUUUAUUGUCUGAAAUGAAGAGGGGGAAGGGGGGGUUUAUAAUUUAGCCUAGUGCCUUUUGUGAUGGUUUGCAAAAAGUGUUGCUUUUCAGUUUUCAUAUAUCCUGAUCCUGGCAAGGGAAAAGGAAAGCAUGUUAUUGCUGGAAAUCUGCUAUUACAAAAGGUGUCUAUCCUGUGAUUUCUGUUGUACUUGAUGUUUACUUGGAUGAUACUGCUCUAGUAUUGGUUAGCUUCUCAGUAAAUCCACCAUAUGCGG
Molecule: unclassified non-coding RNA, 320 nt
Filed under: Hevea brasiliensis (rubber tree)
Lineage: Eukaryota; Viridiplantae; Streptophyta; Magnoliopsida; Malpighiales; Euphorbiaceae
Source: RNAcentral